RNAcentral lists this signal recognition particle RNA (330 nucleotides) under Candidatus Bathyarchaeota archaeon. Its description in RNAcentral is "signal recognition particle sRNA". It matches the Rfam family "Archaeal signal recognition particle RNA". The record is from RNAcentral. Lineage: Archaea; Thermoproteati; Candidatus Bathyarchaeota.
CGGUGGGUCUAGGCGGGGGGCUAGGGGUCCCCUGAAAACCCCUAAAGGGGUUUGACCGCAAACCCCCUAUACGGCGGGCCGAAAGCUGAGGUGAGGCGCACCCAGCCCCACCCCUAACCAGCCAAACCCACCUAUGAACAUCUGUCCUCCAGGAUCCGCGUAGACAGCUGCUCCAUCCGUAGGGUUGGGGUGGCUGUCUCACCAGACAAACCUGGCUAGGCCCGGGAGGGAGCAACCUAAGUCUGGGCGUUGGAUGCUUGGAGGGGUGCGGGUGUGAGGUUGGAUGGUUGGUUUGGGUGGGGUAUGAGCGUCAAACCUCAGGACCCACCG